Long non-coding RNA from Chinchilla lanigera (long-tailed chinchilla), 833 nucleotides. RefSeq lists it as uncharacterized. The record is from RefSeq and is a predicted model, not a curated record. The transcript has 4 exons. NCBI's taxonomy places the organism in Eukaryota, Metazoa, Chordata, Mammalia, Rodentia, Chinchillidae.
GCCGCGCCCCCUGUCUCUCCCUCCUCUGUGUUUGCUAUGUUCCAGAGAGGCGUGGGGGAAGUACAGAGUUUCGAAAGACGAGUCACAAGUAGCGCCCCGAAUUCCUCAAAACUGGAGUAUCUGAUGCGGGCAGAUUUCUCGGUUUCGUGAAUUAGUAUAGCAGGUGCCUCCGUUACGCCGGGCUGGGUGGAACAAUCACAAGCACAAAUCACGGAGCACAGGACCGAAGAGACGGCUGGCACGGAGCUCCCUGCGCGGGCAAGGGUCUGGCAUUUCUUCCUGUUACAGAGUGGCUUAUCUGGAAAGCCAACACUGAGGAGUUGUGUGUACAUAUGUUCAUGAGGGAUACCUGUGGGAUCAGACACGGAAGGAAGAAGGAAGCAGCACUGGGCAGAGGAAGCAGUUAGACUCCACCACAAGGCAAUUCCCCAAGAAGUUUGGAACUGAAAUGAAGGCGACAAGUCACAUGUCAUAAAAAUACAAGUUACAGUCCUUGAGCCUUGGAAAUGUGCGAUCCACUGGGAAGGUAGGUUUACCAAAUGCUCAGUGCGAAAGUGAGCAGAGUGAGCAGCAAUAAAUGUUCCACUGAUUCUUUCACCGAGCGGAUAAUUACAGCAUCCACCGUCUGUUAUUGCGGGCCCUGUCACACACAGGAGUGAGCAAGGCCUGCACAGAGCUCCCUACCCCGAGCUUGGUCUGGUGAGGGCCUGGACAGGAGAUCGGGCAGCUGCAGUCCUGCAUCUCCAGGCCUACGCUAGUGGGGAAGGACAGGAUAUUCAGGGAGCAAAUAAGAAGAGAACCUGAUCAGGAGUGAGCGGUGCGGAACGACCUUG